Marmota monax (woodchuck) is the source of this 756-nucleotide long non-coding RNA. RefSeq lists it as uncharacterized. The record is from RefSeq and is a predicted model, not a curated record. The transcript is spliced from 5 exons. Lineage: Eukaryota; Metazoa; Chordata; Mammalia; Rodentia; Sciuridae.
GCCUGAGGGGCAGUGUGUAGUAGGAGGCAGACAUGUCCAGUCUGAGUGCAGUCUGAGUAGUGUCUCUUCUCUCCCUGGGAAAGGGGACCAAGAUGGCCUGAUGGAAACCUUGGAACGAGACCCAUGGUUCACUGGAGGAGGCCAUGAUCACUGUGGAUGCCAACUCUCUGCAGGAACAUUCAUGACAGGAGCUUCAUGGAAAAGCAAGCAUGGGGCCUGCUCUCUCAACCAGGUGUCCCUGGGGACUUAAUCCUCCUGGGCUGAGCCCCACUCAUCACAUGGGAAUUUAAAAUGCAGGAGUCCUCUGAGGCCAUCGCCACCAUGCUGUGAUAACUCUGUGGAGCUGACUGGCUGGAUUCUUGAUGGUGCUACGUUUGGUUGAAAGCCCAGGAACUCUCCAGGUCUAAGCUGAGCACAGCUCUUACCAGGACCCAAUAGCUGCUGAGCCUGGAUACCCAGAGAAGAAGCUCUGCAUGUGAGGAAUUCUAAGGUCAAGAGUGAGCCUAUUCAGUUUCUGCCUACCCUACCUGAGAAGGCCUUCAUGUGACCCGAUAGGAGCCUUGAGCAAAGCUGAGACUGGCCAGGAAAUGACAGCCUGUCCAAGUGGACACUCAGCAGAAACAACACUUCUUCAUCUUUCCCAAUGGACCAGAAGACACUCCUACCCGCAGAAAGCAGUGGGCAGGGUGGAAAGAGGAGGUCUGCUCUGAUUAGAGGGUAUGUACUCUCUCCUUAGGGUCAGAGUUAGGAAGACAU